Cynoglossus semilaevis (tongue sole) is the source of this 1142-nucleotide long non-coding RNA. RefSeq lists it as uncharacterized. Lineage: Eukaryota; Metazoa; Chordata; Actinopteri; Pleuronectiformes; Cynoglossidae. The record is from RefSeq and is a predicted model, not a curated record. The transcript has 8 exons.
UAUAACAACGACAGUGAUGCUAAGUAACGCUGUUGUCUCUGUUGUCCAGGAUACGAAUAGAGGAAAAUAAGAGCAGUAAACACGGUACAAAUAUAAAGACUGUUCCCGAAGCAAAUCAGCUGGGCUCCUUGUGAUGUGCUAAUAGCAGUGUUGAAACCAAUGUUUUUGCACCGCUGCAAAUCAGGCUCAGAGGGAAGAUCCACUCUUGUUUACAUGCAGCUUAUUCUGUUUAUUUACCUGGAAUUUAAGGACAAGUUCAUUUAAAAGGUCAAAGGUCAAAGACACACACACAUGGUCGUCUGUUGAUGUCACGGCGUGUCGACCUGAGCAGAUACAUGUGCGGUAUCUUCAGGGCCUGGAUGCUGAUCGCUCCCCUUGUGUCCAUAUACACUUCUCAUGGCAAACCCAUCAGCGUCGUCUCCAGAGCUCCAGGCCAUUUGCGCUGACAUUUCCAACACUCUCCUUGUUACUCUGUGCGAGCAGGAGAAAUCAUUCCAUUCUCUCCACACCUUCUGUUAAAGGAGGCACCGGUGGUAGUGUUGUUGUUGUUGUUGCUGUUGUUAAAGACGAAGACGACACUGAUGGAGAGCUCAGGGACCGAGGAAAUACAGGAGACUCUGACAGUGGCUGACCUGGAGGUGAGACGGAGCAGCGUACCAGAUGCCACGCUGCACAUUUAGCCUGCGGUGCAACAACUGCCACGUGACCCUGCAGUCCUUUGUGGGAAAUGAAGGCGUCAUCACACUACAGCGGCACGAGCUGGACUGACAUCGCGCCGCAGCGCUCAAGGCGCUUGAUGUCCGUGACGCUGACCCGUCGCUCAUUUGGCAAACGAUGACAUCAUCAUCAGUGUGGAGGAUGCACCGCUGAUCAAAUCCUGUGAGACUGGAAAUAAAACCAACAGGAAGGAACCGUCAACACACAGCCGGGCGGAGUGGACCAGACGCCAAGUGGACCGUCAACACACAGACCUCUCAGCCAAUAGCCAUGCUGUAACACGCACACAGGAAACGCUUCUCUGGAUCUCAGGAGAAACAUCAGCUGCCUUUUAUUGAAGACUCCCGGGCCUCGAACACAUGCCUCACCCCGUCCUCUUUUUUUCACCAUCCCUGCAAAGAUGCCAGUGCCAGGGCUGACGCUGU